GACGGAAGGUGCAAGCGUUGCUCGGAAUCACUGGGCGUAAAGGGUGCGUAGGCGGCCGUGCAAGUCUGGCGUGAAAGCCCCGGGCUCAGCCCGGGAAGUGCGCUCGAAACUGCACGGCUCGAGUGCCGGAGGGGAGAGUGGAAUUCCUGGUGUAGCGGUGAAAUGCGCAGAUAUCAGGAGGAACACCGGUGGCGAAGGCGGGUCUCUGGGCCGAAAUUGACGCUGAGGAGCGAAAGCGUGGGGAGCGAACAGG
This 253-nucleotide ribosomal RNA is filed under the name uncultured bacterium. RNAcentral's name for it is "partial 16S ribosomal RNA". It matches the Rfam family "Bacterial small subunit ribosomal RNA", at positions 524 to 776 of the family's 1533-position model. The record is from RNAcentral.